CAGCGCCGCGGUAAUACGAAGGGGGCUAGCGUUGUUCGGAAUUACUGGGUGUAAAGCGCACGUAGGCGGCUUGGUAAGUUAGAGGUGAAAGCCUGGAGCUCAACUCCAGAAUUGCCUUUAAGACUGCCGAGCUAGCAGGUGAGAGAGGUAAGUGGAAUUCCGAGUGUAGAGGUGAAAUUCGUAGAUAUUCGGAAGAACACCAGUGGCGAAGGCGGCUUACUGGCUCAUACUGGACGCUGAGGUGCGAAAGCGUGGGGAGCAAACAGGAUUAGAUACCCCCGUAGUCCCUGUCUCUUAUACA
Molecule: ribosomal RNA, 301 nt
Filed under: uncultured bacterium
Lineage: Bacteria
Description: partial 16S ribosomal RNA
Rfam family: Bacterial small subunit ribosomal RNA
Source: RNAcentral